GAUGAAGAACGCAGCGAAAUGCGAUAAGUAAUGUGAAUUGCAGAAUUCAGUGAAUCAUCGAAUCUUUGAACGCACAUUGCGCCCGCCAGCAUUCUGGCGGGCAUGCCUGUUCGAGCGUCAUUUCAACCCUCGAGCCCCCCCGGGGGCCUCGGUGUUGGGGGACGGCACACCAGCCGCCCCCGAAAUGCAGUGGCGACCCCGCCGCAGCCUCCCCUGCGUAGUAGCACACACCUCGCACCGGAGCGCGGAGGCGGUCACGCCGUAAAACGCCCAACUUUCUUAGAGUUGACCUCGGAUCAGGUAGGAAUACCCGCUGAACUUAAGCAUAUCAAUGAGCGGAGGA
Molecule: unclassified non-coding RNA, 343 nt
Filed under: soil metagenome
Description: partial contains 5.8S ribosomal RNA, internal transcribed spacer 2, and large subunit ribosomal RNA
Rfam family: 5.8S ribosomal RNA (bases 1-120)
Source: RNAcentral